Molecule: ribosomal RNA, 670 nt
Filed under: uncultured Actinomycetes bacterium
Lineage: Bacteria; Bacillati; Actinomycetota; Actinomycetes
Description: bacterial SSU rRNA
Rfam family: Bacterial small subunit ribosomal RNA
Source: RNAcentral
CAAGUCGAACGAUGAUCUCCAGCUUGCUGGGGGGAUUAGUGGCGAACGGGUGAGUAACACGUGAGUAACCUGCCCUUGACUCUGGGAUAAGCCUGGGAAACUGGGUCUAAUACUGGAUACGACCUUCCCACGCAUGUGGUGUUGGUGGAAAGCUUUUGUGGUUUUGGAUGGACUCGCGGCCUAUCAGCUUGUUGGUGGGGUAAUGGCCUACCAAGGCGACGACGGGUAGCCGGCCUGAGAGGGUGGACGGCCACACUGGGACUGAGACACGGCCCAGACUCCUACGGGAGGCAGCAGUGGGGAAUAUUGCACAAUGGGCGCAAGCCUGAUGCAGCGACGCCGCGUGAGGGAUGAAGGCCUUCGGGUUGUAAACCUCUUUCAGUAGGGAAGAAGCGAAAGUGACGGUACCUGCAGAAGAAGCGCCGGCUAACUACGUGCCAGCAGCCGCGGUAAUACGUAGGGCGCAAGCGUUAUCCGGAAUUAUUGGGCGUAAAGAGCUCGUAGGCGGUUUGUCGCGUCUGCCGUGAAAGUCCGGGGCUUAACUCCGGAUCUGCGGUGGGUACGGGCAGACUUGAGUGAUGUAGGGGAGACUGGAAUUCCUGGUGUAGCGGUGAAAUGCGCAGAUAUCAGGAGGAACACCGAUGGCGAAGGCAGGUCUCUGGGCAUUAAC